UCAAAGUGAUAUCUUUCCUCAUUGGCGCCACUUUCUCCCGCGGUUUCUACCUCAGAACCUCAAAAAUUUCGAACGAUAAACCCCAAUCAACUAUACAAAAUCCCUCUUUCAUACAGAGGGAACUGAAGAGCCAAAGAGAGUCAUCGGAGAAGCCAAGUGGUCGCCGCAGAGAGUCAUCGGAGAAGCCAAGUGGUCGCCGCCGUUGGCCAUUCUUGGCUGUUAAUUCUUUGACGGAGAGAUGUUUUAUUCGCACACAUUCUUGGCUCGAAAGGGUCCAUUAGGGACAGUAUGGUGCGCUGCACAUUUACAACACAAGUUGAAGAAACCCCAUUAUACUUCUACUAACAUUCCCUCCACUGUUGAGCGCAUCAUGACUCCUGAAGUACCUAUUGCGUUGCGAACGUCUGGCCACCUUCUACUUGGAGUUGUUCGGAUAUACUCAAAGCAAGUUGAAUACUUUUCCGAGGACUGCAAAACAUUACUAAUGGGAGUUAUAAAGGUCUUCUCAUCCACAAAUGUCAAUCUGCCAGAAGAUGCCACUCAUGCACCAUACCACUCUAUCACUCUACCAGAAACAUUUGAACUUGAUGCCUUAGUUUUUGAUGAAGAUCUUGACCUGAAUAGGGUUAAGGAUACUCAUGUUAAAAGUUAUGAAGAGAUAACUUUGGAAGAUCAAAUUGUAUCGCAUGAAGAUCAGUAUGUUGCUAUUUUCAUUGAUGAGGACACAAUGAAGAAUUUGUCAAAAUCAGGUGAAGUUUCUGGAUUAGGUGCCAUGCCCAUGGAGACAGACGAAACUGCUGCUCAACCCCAACAUUCUCCCCCUAAGAAUCAGGAAGGACUAAACCAAGGAACUGUUCGUGAUGACAUUCCUCAAGAUAUUCCAGAAAUUGAACUCAUGCGUGAUGCUGUCCCAGAUCAUAGUUUUGAGAAUGUUCCGUUGUGGUCAGGCCGAGGGAAUGAUGUGAUGGAACCAGAUAGAAUUCUGGAGGAACAGAUCAUGAGAGACAAGGAAACUGCAGGCCCAGUUGUGGAAGAGAUAUUGGCCCCCGGAGGACAUUCAAUCCCAUCUCAACAACGACAAGAACCACCGUCAGCUACUUCAGUGGAGGCUCACGAAUUUGCUGAUCCACAGAUGUCAUUUGGGCAUCAGUCACCUGAUUUAGCUCUUCUUUCAACACCACCUCCCGAGGCACUAAAAAUAAGAAGAAAGCGAAAGCUACUCAUCUAUGAUAAGGACAUAGUAGUGCCAAAUCAUGAGAUGAAAAAGAGACUACAGGGCAUCGGUAUAAAAUUGCGGGAAAAGAAGAAGGUUCCUUGUUCUUCUUUGGACAUCUGGAAACAAAACAAGAGACUAAGAAAAGAUGGAAUUUUCUUUGAGCCUUUAAUAACCGGAUUAUGCGAUGAUCUCCGCAAUAUCUACAAGGAAGACUUCAUUUCAGCAAAAGUCAAGAUGGCUUCCUCACAGGAGAAUCAUGCAGAACCCAGCGAUAACCAAUACCCUCCAUCUGGGAAUGAUCUUCCGAUGGAAAUUGAAAGACUACGUGAUAAUCAAAACCUUGCAAGCACCGAUUUGUUGUCUGAGAUUUUGCCUUCACCAAAUAGGCUUAUUUCCUCUCCACAGAUGUCCAUGCCUUCCCCAAGCAGAAGAGAUGACUUCAGUCCUGCUACUACAACUUUUGGGACAGAAUCAGGUCAGAUAGGAAGAACCAUAGAUAGUGGGGUGCGGCCCACGCCUGACCCAGCAGCAUCUACUGGGCAUGCUGGUUCUGAUAUGGAGACCCCUUCAACAUGGUUUGGAGAAGGACUAAAUGUGGAGGAUACCGUUCUAUCUGAUAUUCCUGAGUUUGAUAAUUCUGCCGGGGAUCUAAGUUUUCUAGAACAAGAUGACGACACUCCUAUUGGACUUCUGGGAACUCCUUCGUCAAGUAAGCAAGGGGGAACGCCAGAGUUUGGCACAUUAUCUGCUAGAACAAGAGCCGUGGCUCAAUAUUUGAAAGGGCAGUCACCAGCAACCCCCAUCUCAGAAGAGACUGGAGAUAUCAGCUUAAAUGCAAUUUUAGAAGGCAAAAAUAGAAGAGUAUGUGCCCGAAUGUUUUAUGAGACUCUGGUGUUGGAGAACUGUGGACUUGUACGUGCGAAUCAACAUGAACCUUAUGGUGAAAUAACUCUGAAAGUGACUUCCAAACUGAAGGAGAAAUUUUCAAGCUGAAGCCAUUGUGUAGAACUACAUAUAGAGAUGGGUUAAAGACAUUCUUUUUGGAGGACAAAUGGAAUGGGGCAGUCCCCAUGAAACAAUUGCAUCCUGAAUUGUUUACUCUGUGUCAACAACAACAGGCCAUUGUGGCUACAAUGUGGACUGGACAAGGAUGGAAUUUGUUCCUAGGAAGGAACCUUCAUGACUGGGAGAUAGACAAAGUGGCAGAUUUCCAAAAUUCAGUAGCCUUCUUCAGCAACCUCACUGAGAAGGACUAGCUGAUUUGGCAGAAUGACAAUAAGGUCAAUUCUCAGUAAAUUUAAUAUACAGGGACCUCAACAAGACUGCAGGACAGGAGAAAGAUUGUCCAUGGAAGAUGAUCUGGAAACCAAAGGUACCCUACAAAGAAAACUACGUCAAGAGGUUGUUGACAAAAGAAGCAGUUUUGACUCAUAAAAACCUAAACAAAAGAGGCUAUCAGUUGGCCUCUAGAAGUACUUUAUAUGGAGAGCAAGCAGAGACAAUCAACCAUCUAUUUUUGCAUUGUACAUGGACAAACAACUAUGAAGAAUGUUCAUCUGUCUAAAGGGGAUAAGAUGGGUGAAACCAGGGAGAAUUAAAGGAGUUCUAAGCAGCUGGAAGAGAGAUGGCAAUGUUUCAGAUAAAGAGAGGAGAUUGAAACUUGUCCCAGCAUGCAUUUGGUGGACAAUUUGGAAAGAGAGAAACAACAGGAGUUUUGAGAAUGUGCAGAACAACUUACAGAAGAUCAAAAUGAAUUGCUUAGCUCUUUUUUUAUUUUCAGCACAAACAAGAUAUAUUAACUAGAACAUAAGACAUCUUUGAUGUGCCAGAUUGUUUAUAGGCAGCAGUUUUGAUUUAGACAGUUUUCUUCUGACUUCAGGGAACUCCUUCGUCAAGUAAGCAAGGGGGAACGCCAGAGUUUGACACAUUAUCUGCUAGAACAAG
This is an RNA transcript of Solanum dulcamara, 3160 nucleotides long. It is a transcript of the gene named sister chromatid cohesion 1 protein 3-like, with no coding region annotated. The record is from RefSeq and is a predicted model, not a curated record. The transcript is spliced from 14 exons. NCBI's taxonomy places the organism in Eukaryota, Viridiplantae, Streptophyta, Magnoliopsida, Solanales, Solanaceae.